GACGAACGCUGGCGGCGUGCUUAACACAUGCAAGUCGAACGGAAAGGCCCUGCUUUUGUGGGGUGCUCGAGUGGCGAACGGGUGAGUAACACGUGAGUAACCUGCCCUUGACUUUGGGAUAACUUCAGGAAACUGGGGCUAAUACCGGGUAGGAGCUCCUGCUGCAUGGUGGGGGUUGGAAAGUUUCGGCGGUUGGGGUGGGACUGUCGGCUUAUCAGCUUGUUGGUGGGGUAGUGGCUUACCAAGGCUUUGACGGGUAGCCGGCCUGAGAGGGUGACCGGCCACAUUGGGACUGAGAUACGGCCCAGACUCCUACGGGAGGCAGCAGUGGGGAAUAUUGCACAAUGGGCGGAAGCCUGAUGCAGCAACGCCGCGGGCGGGAUGACGGCCUUCGGGUUGUAAACCGCUUUCGCCUGUGACGAAGCGUGAGUGACGGUAAUGGGUAAAGAAGCACCGGCUAACUACGUG
Molecule: ribosomal RNA, 468 nt
Filed under: uncultured bacterium
Lineage: Bacteria
Description: partial 16S ribosomal RNA
Rfam family: Bacterial small subunit ribosomal RNA
Source: RNAcentral